UGUAUGGUUCGCUGGAAAAGAUUCUGAAAGGAGACCCUUAGAAGUGUGUUAAAGGUCUCAUAUUAUGCUCAUUUCCAGGUUAAUAGAUGUAUUUUAAUGUUGCACUAGAACAUGUUUACAUGCUGCAAUGUUCAAAAACCCCUUUAUUCUUCUCAUAGUGUCUCUCUCACUCAGCCUGCAUUUAGCCUCUGUCUGAGAGAUCCUGAUUUACAGCCUGUCUCCUCCCACUCUGCUCUGAUUGGUCAGUGUUUCUGUCAAUCAAACGUCCUCAACAACACAACGUCACAGAUAGAGAGAGAGAGCAACCUGUAGUUUUGACUGUAAGGAGAGGGAGAAGCAGCUAGAAUAGAGCUUAUAAACCACUUUAAAGUUUAUAAACCAGAAACUUCACCCAGCGCACGUUACCGGAGGAAUCUGAUCAGAAAUCGGCGACAAAUGAACAACAUCUGCGGUCCAGAUUCCAGGUUUUCCUGACGGUUUCUCUCAGAUCCAUCUGUGAGAAAUGACCGACAGAAUCAUCCCAGAGGAGAGCAGACAGCUGAGAGCAGAUAGCUGUGAGCAGAUGGGAAAUACAGAGCUAACCCGUUAGCAUGUAGCUACAUGCUAACGGGUUAGCUACAUGCUACCGCUAUGAGACGGUGUGUAACCACAGCGACCAUCAGGGUGGAAAAUAGAAGAUGUGAAACAGUAGUCAGUUCAUUAUUUCUGGUAAAAGACACCUGCUAAAUGUAUGGAAGAUCAGAGUAAUGGUAUAUUAUUUACAGUAGGAGCUGUCUCUGUGUUAUCAUGACUACAGACCACUGGAGCUUAGCUUACCGUAGUUUACCAGAGCUGAAAGACUUUCUCCUGUACCAUGUCAACAUAACUAACUAACAGGUGGGAUGAUUACAAAUGCUGUGUAUAAUUAAUAUUGUCAUCUGUCUACUCAAAUAAAGUUUGACUGUGAAACAGAAA
This is a long non-coding RNA of Sebastes umbrosus (honeycomb rockfish), 954 nucleotides long. RefSeq lists it as uncharacterized. Lineage: Eukaryota; Metazoa; Chordata; Actinopteri; Perciformes; Sebastidae. The transcript is spliced from 2 exons. The record is from RefSeq and is a predicted model, not a curated record.